RNAcentral lists this ribosomal RNA (752 nucleotides) under Niallia circulans. RNAcentral's name for it is "bacterial SSU rRNA". It matches the Rfam family "Bacterial small subunit ribosomal RNA", at positions 19 to 756 of the family's 1533-position model. Lineage: Bacteria; Bacillati; Bacillota; Bacilli; Caryophanales; Bacillaceae. The record is from RNAcentral.
UCUGCUCAGGACGAACGCUGGCGGCGUGCCUAAUACAUGCAAGUCGAGCGGACUUUAAAAGCUUGCUUUUAAAGUUAGCGGCGGACGGGUGAGUAACACGUGGGCAACCUGCCUGUAAGACUGGGAUAACUUCGGGAAACCGGAGCUAAUACCGGAUAAUCCUUUUCCUCUCAUGAGGAAAAGCUGAAAGACGGUUUACGCUGUCACUUACAGAUGGGCCCGCGGCGCAUUAGCUAGUUGGUGAGGUAACGGCUCACCAAGGCGACGAUGCGUAGCCGACCUGAGAGGGUGAUCGGCCACACUGGGACUGAGACACGGCCCAGACUCCUACGGGAGGCAGCAGUAGGGAAUCUUCCGCAAUGGACGAAAGUCUGACGGAGCAACGCCGCGUGAGUGAUGAAGGUUUUCGGAUCGUAAAACUCUGUUGUUAGGGAAGAACAAGUACAAGAGUAACUGCUUGUACCUUGACGGUACCUAACCAGAAAGCCACGGCUAACUACGUGCCAGCAGCCGCGGUAAUACGUAGGUGGCAAGCGUUGUCCGGAAUUAUUGGGCGUAAAGCGCGCGCAGGCGGUCCUUUAAGUCUGAUGUGAAAGCCCACGGCUCAACCGUGGAGGGUCAUUGGAAACUGGGGGACUUGAGUGCAGAAGAGAAGAGUGGAAUUCCACGUGUAGCGGUGAAAUGCGUAGAGAUGUGGAGGAACACCAGUGGCGAAGGCGACUCUUUGGUCUGUAACUGACGCUGAGGCGGAA